GCUAGUAAUGGCAGGUCAGCAUACUGCCGUGAAUACGUUCCCGGGCCUUGUACACACCGCCCGUCACACCAUGAGAGUUGGGAAUACCCGAAGCCUGUGAGCUAACUAUUAAAGAGGCAGCAGUCGAAGGUAGAAUCAAUGAUUGGGGUGAAGUCGUAACAAGGUACC
This 168-nucleotide ribosomal RNA is filed under the name uncultured bacterium. RNAcentral describes it as "partial 16S ribosomal RNA". It matches the Rfam family "Bacterial small subunit ribosomal RNA", at positions 1334 to 1500 of the family's 1533-position model. The record is from RNAcentral.